UUAUGGCUCAGGAUGAACGCUAGCUACAGGCUAACACAUGCAAGUCGAGGGGCAGCAUGUGGUUGCUUGCAACCAAUGAUGGCGACCGGCGCACGGGUGAGUAACGCGUAUCCAACCUUCCCCUUAGUAGAGGAUAGCCCGGCGAAAGUCGGAUUAAUACUCUAUGUUCUUCAAUGCGGACAUCUAAGUUGAAGCAAAGAUUUAUCGCUAAGGGAUGGGGAUGCGUCUGAUUAGGUUGCAGGCGGGGUAACGGCCCACCUGGCCUACGAUCAGUAGGGGUUCUGAGAGGAAGGUCCCCCACACUGGUACUGAGACACGGACCAGACUCCUACGGGAGGCAGCAGUGAGGAAUAUUGGUCAAUGGGCGCGAGCCUGAACCAGCCAAGUAGCGUGCAGGACGACUGCCCUAUGGGUUGUAAACUGCUUUUAUCAGGGAAUAAAGUGAGGCACGCGUGCCUUUUUGUAUGUACCUGAUGAAUAAGGACCGGCUAAUUCCGUGCCAGCCGCGGC
RNAcentral lists this ribosomal RNA (510 nucleotides) under uncultured bacterium. RNAcentral describes it as "bacterial SSU rRNA". It matches the Rfam family "Bacterial small subunit ribosomal RNA", at positions 17 to 518 of the family's 1533-position model. The record is from RNAcentral.